UCCACACAAAGUAGGUUAAUAUUUAGGAGGUACACUAUCGUCCACACAGAGUAGGUCAAUAUUUAGGAGGUACACCAUCGUCCACACACAGUAGGUCGGUAUUUAGGAGGUACACCAUCGUCCACACAGAGUAGGUCGGUAUUUAGGAGGUACACCAUCGUCCACAUAGAGUAGGUCAAUAUUUAGGAGGUACACCAUCGUCCACACAGAGUAGGUCGGUAUUUAGGAGGUACACCAUCGUCCACACAGAGAAGGUCAAUAUUUAGGAGGUUCACCAUCGUCCACACAGAGUAGGUUGGUAUUUAGGAGGUACA
This is a long non-coding RNA of Mizuhopecten yessoensis (Yesso scallop), 314 nucleotides long. RefSeq lists it as uncharacterized. The transcript is spliced from 3 exons. The record is from RefSeq and is a predicted model, not a curated record. Lineage: Eukaryota; Metazoa; Mollusca; Bivalvia; Pectinida; Pectinidae.